ACGGAAGGCAGCAGUGGGGGAUAUUGCACAAUGGGGGAAACCCUGAUGCAGCGACGCCGCGUGAGCGAAGAAGUAUUUCGGUAUGUAAAGCUCUAUCAGCAGGGAAGAAAAUGACGGUACCUGACUAAGAAGCUCCGGCUAACUACGUGCCAGCAGCCGCGGUAAUACGUAGGGGGCAAGCGUUAUCCGGACUUACUGGGUGUAAAGGGAGCGUAGGCGGCUGAGUAAGUCAGAAGUGAAAGCCCGGGGCUCAACCCCGGGACGGCUUUUGAAACUGCCCGGCUUGAUUUCAGGGGAGGAAAGCGGAAUUCCUAGUGUAGCGGUGAAAUGCGUAGAUAUUAGGAGGAACACCAGUGGCGAAGGCGGCUUUCUGGACUGACAAUGACGCUGAGGCUCGAAAGCGUGGGGAGCAAACAGGAUUAGAUACCCUGGUA
This 434-nucleotide ribosomal RNA is filed under the name uncultured Coprococcus sp. RNAcentral describes it as "partial 16S ribosomal RNA". It matches the Rfam family "Bacterial small subunit ribosomal RNA", at positions 341 to 792 of the family's 1533-position model. Lineage: Bacteria; Bacillati; Bacillota; Clostridia; Lachnospirales; Lachnospiraceae. The record is from RNAcentral.